RNAcentral lists this ribosomal RNA (346 nucleotides) under uncultured soil bacterium. RNAcentral describes it as "bacterial SSU rRNA". It matches the Rfam family "Bacterial small subunit ribosomal RNA", at positions 26 to 365 of the family's 1533-position model. The record is from RNAcentral.
AGAACGAACGCUGGCGGCGUGUUUAAGACAUGCAAGUCGCACGGAACCAAAUUGGUAGUAAUACUCGUUUGGUUCAGUGGCGCACGGGUGAGUAACACGUGAAUUACAUGCCCUUCAGCGGGGAAUAGCCCAGGGAAACUUGGAUUAAUACCCCAUGGUAUCGCAAGAUUAAAGGUGGCCAGCAAUGGCUGUCGCUGAAGGAUUGGUUCGCACCCUAUCAGCUUGUUGGUGAGGUAACGGCUCACCGAAGGCUACGGACGGGUACCUGGUCUGAGAGGACAUCGAGGCACGACUGGAACUGAGACACGGUCCAGACACCGUACGGGUGCCAGCAGUCGAAGAAUUA